AUGGUCGACACCAGGCGCAGCUCCGCGGGGAAGCGCCGGGCCUCGUCGGAGGAGGCCUCGCCCCCGACGCCCCCGCCCGCGGCGGCCUCGGGCGCGGGCGCGGGCGACGCGCCGGGGGCGUCGGCGUCCGCGCCCGCGGCGGAGGCCGCCUCCCCACCGCCCCCGCGGAGCCGGUCGGCCAAGCGGGCCAAGGGCAAGACGACGUGCGUGGUGUCAGCCCCCGUGUUCGAGGCUGCCGCCAAGGCAGCGGGCCGCGUGAUCGAGAGCUCGCAGCUGAGCGCGCCGGCCGUGGAGAGGUCCGCCGGGGCCGUCGCGGCGUCGUCCACCGUGUCGAAUUCAGGAGCUUCAGCGAGGAAGAAGAGGACGCCCAGGCGUCUGCCUCCGUCCGACGAGACGACGGCGGAAGAGAUGACGCAGUGGAAGACGAGGCGCGGGGCGGCCAGUAGCCGGACUCAUGCUUGGGCCAGACUGAUUUCCCAAUCUUCUCAGUAUCCCACGGUUCCUAUUUAUGCUUCCUAUUUCACCGUUGGUCAUGGUGGUAAACAUGAUUUGAAACUGACGGAUGCAUUAUCUGGAUCACUUGUUUGCAGACUGAGGCAUGUUAGGAGGGGUGCUGCCCUUGAGGUCUCUAUAUCCAAAGUUGUCUAUGUAAAUGGGAAGGCCUUAGACAAGGCUGCUAAGGUCACCUUGACUGGAGGCGACGAAGUUGUUUUUAGUUCACUUGGGAGGCAUGCUUAUAUAUUUCAGCCUCUUCCAGAGGAAAAAUCAAGCACAUCAACCUUUUCUUCCCCAAGUUUCGUUCAGCAAGGGCAGUAUCCAGUUAUGAAAGGCACACUGGAUCAUUUAUCAUCUAAAAGGGCCAAGUUAUCAGUGCCGUUUAAUUUUGGUAGUGGCUGCUCUCCAUCUGUUCCUCAUGAUACAGAGAUAGUCAGCAGUUUAUGUAAAACAAUGGAGGAGCAGAACCAGUUCUCUUCUGAAGAAAAUGUGCCAUUUGCUCAACAUAAACUUUUAAAAGAAGAUCUGAAGAAGGCAGUUGUUAGUGCAAGUGAUAUAUCAGAGUCAUUUGAUAGUUUUCCAUAUUAUCUGAGCGAGAAUACCAAAAGUUCUCUCCUGACACCAGCACAUGUAAAUUUGUGUUGCAAGGAAGCCAUGGAGUGGACAAAAAAAAUAUCUUUUAUUUCUCAACGAGUACUAUUAUCUGGUCCAGCAGGGUCUGAGAUAUACCAAGAAACAUUGAUGAAGGCUCUCACCAAACACUUCGAUGCUAGGCUGCUCGUUGUAGAUUCAUCAUUGCUGUCGAGUGGACAGUCUUCAAAGUCAAAGGAGUCAGAGCCGUACAAAAGAGGUGAUAGGGUGAGAUACAUUGGUUCUUUGCAGUCAACAAGGUUUAUCCUUGAGGGACAAAGAGCUCCAGAUUAUGGUUCCCAGGGUGAAGUGCGACUUCCUUUUGAGGAAAAUGGAUCCUCAAAAAUUGGAGUCAGUUUUGACAAACCAAUCCCUGGGGGCAUUGAUCUAGGAGGCAAUUGUGAGGUUGAUCAUGGUUUCUUCUGUUCAGUUGAUUCUCUGUGCCUCGAUGGUCCAGGAUGGGAAGAUAGAGCUAAACAUCCAUUUGAUGUAAUAUUUGAGUUUGUUUCUGAAGAAAGUGCGCAUGGACCCCUUAUCCUAUUUUUGAAGGACGUUGAGAAAGUGUGUGGAAACACUUACUCUUAUCAUGGUCUAAAGAGCAAGCUCGAAAUUUUUCCAGCAGGUGUUUUUGUUAUUGGGUCUCAGACCCAGGCAGACAGUCGGAAAGAUAAGCUAAACGGGUCUCCUUUCCUGUCGAAGUUCCCAUACGGGCAAGCAGCAAUACUUGACCUUGCGUUCCAGGAUAGCUUUGGCCGGGUGAAUGAUAAAACCAAAGAAGCAGCGAAGACUGCGAAGCAUGUCACUAAACUUUUCCCCAGUAAAGUGACAAUACAACCACCACAGGAUGACUUGGAACUCUCAAAGUGGAAACAGCUAUUGGACCGUGAUAUUGAAAUUCUGAAAGUGAAGGCUAACAUUUCAAAAGUCCAGUCUUUUCUAACUCGCAAUGGUCUGGAAUGUGCUGAUGUAGAGACCACAGUAUGUGUUAAAGAUCGAACUCUUACAAAUGAAUGUGUCGAUAAAAUAGUUGGUUAUGCUUUGAGUCAUCAAGUUAUGAAUUCAACUGUUCCAACUCCUGGAAAGGAUGUGUUACUUGCUCUUUCUGGUGAAAGCCUUCAGCAUGGGGUUGAUUUGUCGGAAAGUAUGCAAAAUGACCAUAAGAAAAAGAGCACAAAGAAAUCACUCAAGGAUGUUGCCACGGAGAAUGAAUUUGAAAAGAGGCUUCUUAGUGAUGUUAUCCCUCCAGAUGAGAUAGGUGUUUCCUUUGAUGACAUUGGAGCGCUAGAGAAUGUCAAGGAAACUUUGAAGGAAUUAGUGAUGCUUCCAUUGCAAAGGCCAGAGUUGUUCUCCAAGGGACAACUUAUGAAGCCAUGUAAAGGAAUAUUGCUUUUUGGUCCACCUGGUACGGGGAAGACCAUGCUUGCUAAAGCUGUUGCAACAGAGGCUGGUGCUAACUUCAUCAACAUAUCAAUGUCAAGCAUUGGCUCGAAGUGGUUUGGCGAGGGGGAAAAAUAUGUGAAAGCUGUGUUUUCACUUGCAAGCAAAAUUGCUCCCAGUGUCAUUUUUGUGGAUGAGGUUGACGGCAUGCUGGGUAGACGUGAAAACCCAGGGGAACAUGAAGCCAUGCGUAAGAUGAAAAAUGAAUUUAUGGUGAACUGGGAUGGUCUGAGAACAAAAGACAAAGAACGUGUAUUAGUACUUGCUGCCACUAAUAGGCCGUUUGAUCUUGAUGAGGCUGUUAUUAGGAGGCUCCCAAGGAGGUUGAUGGUGAAUUUACCAGACGCAACCAAUAGGAAAAUAAUUAUUAGUGUAAUACUAGCCAAAGAAGAUUUGGCAGAAGAUGUAGAUCUGGAAGCAGUGGCCAGCUUGACUGAGGGGUAUUCAGGCAGUGAUCUGAAGAAUCUGUGUAUUACUGCUGCACAUCGUCCCAUAAGGGAACUCCUUGAAAAAGAGAAGAAGGAGAGAUCCUUAGCAGAAGCAGAAAACAAAUCAUUGCCUCCUAAGUAUUCUAGCAGUGAUGUCCGUCCCCUAAAUAUGAGUGAUCUCAAACAGGCACACGAGCAGGUAUGUGCAAGUAUAUCAUCUGAUUCGACAAAUAUGAACGAGCUUGUUCAGUGGAACGAGCUUUACGGCGAAGGCGGAUCUAGAAAGAAGACGCCUCUAAGCUACUUCAUGUAG
This 3303-nucleotide ribosomal RNA is filed under the name Triticum aestivum (bread wheat). RNAcentral's name for it is "partial small subunit ribosomal RNA". Lineage: Eukaryota; Viridiplantae; Streptophyta; Magnoliopsida; Poales; Poaceae. The record is from RNAcentral.